UGAUUUGAUAAAAAAUAUUUUUGUUUUUAGUGUGAUAUAAUAUUUGUACCGUGAGGGUAUUUUGAAAUAUUUUGAAAUAGUUAUUUUUAUAAAAGUAUAUUUUAUUUGUAUUACCUUUUGUAUCAGGGUUGAUCAACUUUACUUAAUUUUUAAUUUAUUUAGUGUUACAUAACUAUUAAAAAUAUUUAUUAGGAGAGAAAUUCUAUUCGUUUAUAAUGGUAUCUAGUUUUUUAAGAAAUAAAUUUAAUUUAACUUUAAUUUUUCUUUUAAUUAAAUUAAAAUUAAUAGGGGAUAAGCUCUAUUUUUUGUUUAUAGUAGGAUUAUAAUCUUCCAUCUUUUUAUUACGUUAUAGUGUAUUUUAAUUAAAUAUUAAAAUUUUCUAAUUAAUUUAGGAUUAGAAGUAAUAAUGAUUAAAUUAGUAUAUUAUUUUAUGUGUUUUAUCAAUAAGGAACUCGGCAAAUUUUGUGUUCGCCUGUUUAUCAAAAACAUGUCCUUUGGAGGUCUGACCUGCCCAGUGUUAACGGCCGCGGUAUUUUGACCGUGCAAAGGUAGCAUAAUCAUUAGUCUUUUAAUAGGGGGCUGGAAUGAAAGGUUUAACGAAUCAUUAGCUGUCUCAUUUUUAUAAUUUAAAACUUAAUUUUUAAGUUAAAAAGCUUAAAUGUUGUUGGAGGACGAGAAGACCCUAUAGAGCUUUAUAUUACUUAUUAUUUUGUUGGGGUGACAAAAAUAAAUAAUUAACUGUUUUAUUGUUUAAACAUAGAUUUAUGAGUUUUUGAUCCAUUAUUAUUGAUUAUUAGAUUAAGUUACCUUAGGGAUAACAGCGUAAUCUUUUUUUGGAGUUCAAAUUUACAAAAAGGCUUGCGACCUCGAUGUUGGAUUAAGAUUAUAAUCUGGUGCAGUAGCUAGAUUAAUAGGUCUGUUCCACCUUUAAAUUCUUACAU
Molecule: ribosomal RNA, 941 nt
Filed under: Platycnemis pennipes
Lineage: Eukaryota; Metazoa; Arthropoda; Insecta; Odonata; Platycnemididae
Description: partial 16S ribosomal RNA
Rfam family: Bacterial large subunit ribosomal RNA (bases 640-941)
Source: RNAcentral